UUGCUUCAGCAGCACACAUACCAAAAUUAGAACAAUACAGAGAAGAUUAGUAUGGCCCCUGGACAAGGAUGAUAAUGCAAAUUUGUGAAGCAAUCCAUAUUUUA
This is a small nuclear RNA of Lutra lutra (Eurasian river otter), 104 nucleotides long. Lineage: Eukaryota; Metazoa; Chordata; Mammalia; Carnivora; Mustelidae. The record is from RefSeq and is a predicted model, not a curated record.